This is a long non-coding RNA of Tarenaya hassleriana, 455 nucleotides long. RefSeq lists it as uncharacterized. The record is from RefSeq and is a predicted model, not a curated record. Lineage: Eukaryota; Viridiplantae; Streptophyta; Magnoliopsida; Brassicales; Cleomaceae. The transcript has 3 exons.
AAUUUUGCUAGAAAAGCCAGCCUCAGUAGGAAAACAUCCCACCAUCGUCAAGCUUAAUUCCUCUUCGGCUUUUGGUGAUAACUAAUGCUGUGGAACAUAGGAACAAAUAACAAAUGCUCUGGGAAUAGAGAAACAUACCACGGAGACUUGAACGCAAGUUACAGGUCGUGAGCAGCAGUAGCCGAGGAGCGGACAUCGGAGACCUGGGCAGCUUAUCAUUGAUCAUGUAUAAUUAUUUCAUCGGUGGUAGACUUUUACGGUUUGUAAUAAUGUGAUACUACCACUGUUUAUGUAUAAUUAUAACUGGAAUAAUGUACCGUAUAUGUAUGCACGAGUGUUUUCUUCCGCUAAACUCUGACAAGAAAAGUUUUAAAUUCCCGCGGAUUUUUGAAAAAUGUGAUUUUACUUUACUUGUCCAUGUGACGCAACUCUAUUACGGGAUGCGGGUUACGGGC